AUUGAACGCUGGCGGCAGGCCUAACACAUGCAAGUCGAGCGGAUGAAGGGAGCUUGCUCCUGGAUUCAGCGGCGGACGGGUGAGUAAUGCCUAGGAAUCUGCCUGUCAGUGGGGGAUAACGUCCGGAAACGGGCGCUAAUACCGCAUACGUCCUGAGGGAGAAAGUGGGGGAUCUUCGGACCUCACGCUAUCAGAUGAGCCUAGGUGGGAUUAGCUAGUUGGCGGGGUAAAGGCCUACCAAGGCGACGAUCCGUAACUGGUCUGAGAGGAUGAUCAGUCACACUGGAACUGAGACACGGUCCAGACUCCUACGGGAGGCAGCAGUGGGGAAUAUUGGACAAUGGGCGAAAGCCUGGUCCAGCCAUGCCGCGUGUGUGAAGAAGGUCUUCGGAUUGUAAAGCACUUUUGGUUGGGAGGAAGGGCAGUAAGUUAAUACCUUGCUGUUUUGACGUUACCAAAAGAAUAAGCACCGGCUAACUUCGUG
Molecule: ribosomal RNA, 484 nt
Filed under: uncultured bacterium
Lineage: Bacteria
Description: partial 16S ribosomal RNA
Rfam family: Bacterial small subunit ribosomal RNA
Source: RNAcentral